This 253-nucleotide ribosomal RNA is filed under the name uncultured bacterium. RNAcentral describes it as "partial 16S ribosomal RNA". It matches the Rfam family "Bacterial small subunit ribosomal RNA", at positions 524 to 776 of the family's 1533-position model. The record is from RNAcentral.
UACGGGGGGGGCAAGCGUUGUUCGGAAUUACUGGGCGUAAAGGGCUCGUAGGUGGCCAACUAAGUCAGACGUGAAAUCCCUCAGCUUAACUGGGGAACUGCGUCUGAUACUGGAUGGCUUGAGUUUGGGAGAGGGAUGCGGAAUUCCAGGUGUAGCGGUGAAAUGCGUAGAUAUCUGGAGGAACACCGGUGGCGAAGGCGGCAUCCUGGACCAACACUGACACUGAUGAGCGAAAGCGUGGGUAGCAAACAGG